RNAcentral lists this ribosomal RNA (316 nucleotides) under uncultured eukaryote. RNAcentral's name for it is "partial 18S ribosomal RNA". It matches the Rfam family "Eukaryotic small subunit ribosomal RNA", at positions 1470 to 1796 of the family's 1831-position model. The record is from RNAcentral.
CCCUUAGAUGUUCUGGGCCGCACGCGUGCUACACUGACCGGCGCAACAAGUUUCUUUCCUUGGCUCGAUAGGCCUGGGUAAUCUUUGAACGCCGGUCGUGAUGGGGAUAGAUCCUUGCAAUUUUUGAUCUUCAACGAGGAAUUCCUAGUAAAUGCGAGUCAUCAUCUCGCGUUGAUUACGUCCCUGCCCUUUGUACACACCGCCCGUCGCACCUACCGAUUGAAUGGUCCGGUGAAGCCUCGGGAUUGCGAAUGCUUCGUGCGGACGCGAGAACUCGGCUAAACCUUACCAUUUAGAGGAAGGCGAAGUCGUAACA